Molecule: ribosomal RNA, 253 nt
Filed under: uncultured bacterium
Lineage: Bacteria
Description: partial 16S ribosomal RNA
Rfam family: Bacterial small subunit ribosomal RNA
Source: RNAcentral
UACGAAGGGGGCGAGCGUUGUUCGGAUUUACUGGGCGCAAAGGGCGCGUAGGCGGCCCUCUUUGUCGCGUGUGAAAGCCCCGGGCUCAACCUGGGAAUUGCGCGCGAAACGGGGGGGCUUGAGUUCGGGAGAGGAGCGUGGAAUUCCCAGUGUAGAGGUGAAAUUCGUAGAUAUUGGGAAGAACACCGGUGGCGAAGGCGGCGCUCUGGACCGAGACUGACGCUGAGGCGCGAAAGCGUGGGGAGCAAACAGG